RNAcentral lists this ribosomal RNA (1885 nucleotides) under human gut metagenome. RNAcentral's name for it is "bacterial LSU rRNA". It matches the Rfam family "Bacterial large subunit ribosomal RNA", at positions 1061 to 2925 of the family's 2925-position model. The record is from RNAcentral.
AAGUGGGAAACGAUGUGGGAAGGCCCAGACAGCCAGGAUGUUGGCUUAGAAGCAGCCAUCAUUUAAAGAAAGCGUAAUAGCUCACUGGUCGAGUCGGCCUGCGCGGAAGAUGUAACGGGGCUAAACCAUGCACCGAAGCUGCGGCAGCGACGCUGAUGCGUUGUUGGGUAGGGGAGCGUUCUGUAAGCCUGUGAAGGUGUACUGUGAGGUAUGCUGGAGGUAUCAGAAGUGCGAAUGCUGACAUAAGUAACGAUAAAGCGGGUGAAAAGCCCGCUCGCCGGAAGACCAAGGGUUCCUGUCCAACGUUAAUCGGGGCAGGGUGAGUCGACCCCUAAGGCGAGGCCGAAAGGCGUAGUCGAUGGGAAACAGGUUAAUAUUCCUGUACUUGGUGUUACUGCGAAGGGGGGACGGAGAAGGCUAUGUUGGCCGGGCGACGGUUGUCCCGGUUUAAGCGUGUAGGCUGGUUUUCCAGGCAAAUCCGGAAAAUCAAGGCUGAGGCGUGAUGACGAGGCACUACGGUGCUGAAGCAACAAAUGCCCUGCUUCCAGGAAAAGCCUCUAAGCAUCAGGUAACAUCAAAUCGUACCCCAAACCGACACAGGUGGUCAGGUAGAGAAUACCAAGGCGCUUGAGAGAACUCGGGUGAAGGAACUAGGCAAAAUGGUGCCGUAACUUCGGGAGAAGGCACGCUGAUAUGUAGGUGAAGUCCCUCGCGGAUGGAGCUGAAAUCAGUCGAAGAUACCAGCUGGCUGCAACUGUUUAUUAAAAACACAGCACUGUGCAAACACGAAAGUGGACGUAUACGGUGUGACGCCUGCCCGGUGCCGGAAGGUUAAUUGAUGGGGUUAGCGCAAGCGAAGCUCUUGAUCGAAGCCCCGGUAAACGGCGGCCGUAACUAUAACGGUCCUAAGGUAGCGAAAUUCCUUGUCGGGUAAGUUCCGACCUGCACGAAUGGCGUAAUGAUGGCCAGGCUGUCUCCACCCGAGACUCAGUGAAAUUGAACUCGCUGUGAAGAUGCAGUGUACCCGCGGCAAGACGGAAAGACCCCGUGAACCUUUACUAUAGCUUGACACUGAACAUUGAGCCUUGAUGUGUAGGAUAGGUGGGAGGCUUUGAAGUGUGGACGCCAGUCUGCAUGGAGCCGACCUUGAAAUACCACCCUUUAAUGUUUGAUGUUCUAACGUUGACCCGUGAUCCGGGUUGCGGACAGUGUCUGGUGGGUAGUUUGACUGGGGCGGUCUCCUCCUAAAGAGUAACGGAGGAGCACGAAGGUUGGCUAAUCCUGGUCGGACAUCAGGAGGUUAGUGCAAUGGCAUAAGCCAGCUUGACUGCGAGCGUGACGGCGCGAGCAGGUGCGAAAGCAGGUCAUAGUGAUCCGGUGGUUCUGAAUGGAAGGGCCAUCGCUCAACGGAUAAAAGGUACUCCGGGGAUAACAGGCUGAUACCGCCCAAGAGUUCAUAUCGACGGCGGUGUUUGGCACCUCGAUGUCGGCUCAUCACAUCCUGGGGCUGAAGUAGGUCCCAAGGGUAUGGCUGUUCGCCAUUUAAAGUGGUACGCGAGCUGGGUUUAGAACGUCGUGAGACAGUUCGGUCCCUAUCUGCCGUGGGCGCUGGAGAACUGAGGGGGGCUGCUCCUAGUACGAGAGGACCGGAGUGGACGCAUCACUGGUGUUCGGGUUGUCAUGCCAAUGGCACUGCCCGGUAGCUAAAUGCGGAAGAGAUAAGUGCUGAAAGCAUCUAAGCACGAAACUUGCCCCGAGAUGAGUUCUCCCUGACUCCUUGAGAGUCCUGAAGGAACGUUGAAGACGACGACGUUGAUAGGCCGGGUGUGUAAGCGCAGCGAUGCGUUGAGCUAACCGGUACUAAUGAACCGUGAGGCUUAACCUU